GACGAACGCUGGCGGCGUGCUUAACACAUGCAAGUCGAACGGUGAAGCGAGUGCUUGCACUCGUGGAUCAGUGGCGAACGGGUGAGUAACACGUGAGUAACCUGCCCAUCACUCUGGGAUAAGCACUGGAAACGGUGUCUAAUACUGGAUACGACCAACCCUUGCAUGGGGUGUUGGUGGAAAGAUUUAUCGGUGAUGGAUGGACUCGCGGCCUAUCAGCUUGUUGGCGGGGUAAUGGCCCACCAAGGCGACGACGGGUAGCCGGCCUGAGAGGGUGACCGGCCACACUGGGACUGAGACACGGCCCAGACUCCGACGGGAGGCAGCAGUGGGGAAUAUUGCACAAUGGGCGAAAGACUGAUGCAGCGACGCCGCGUGAGGGAGGACGGCCUUCGGGUUGUAAACCUCUUUCAGCAGGGAAGAAGCGAAAGUGACGGUACCUGCAGAAGAAGCACCGGCUAACUACGU
Molecule: ribosomal RNA, 468 nt
Filed under: uncultured bacterium
Lineage: Bacteria
Description: partial 16S ribosomal RNA
Rfam family: Bacterial small subunit ribosomal RNA
Source: RNAcentral